CCCUUGGCCCAGCUGAGAGCCUGGAGGAGGGGGUGGGGCUCAUUCUUGUUCUUACUUCAGCCCCGCCUUGGGUGUCCUGUUCAGCAUCGAGGUCAUGUCUUCCCACUUCUCUGUCUGGGAUUACUGGAGGGGCUUCUUUGCGGCCACCUGCGGGGCCUUCAUGUUCCGGCUCCUGGCGGUCUUCAACAGUGAGCAGGAGACCAUCACCUCCCUCUACAAGACCAGUUUCCGGGUGGACGUUCCCUUCGACCUGCCUGAGAUCUUCUUUUUUGUGGCGCUGGGUGGCAUCUGCGGCGUCCUGAGCUGCGCUUACCUCUUCUGUCAGCGAACCUUCCUCAGCUUCAUCAAGACCAAUCGGUUCAGCUCCAAACUGCUGGCCACCAGCAAGCCUGUGUACUCUGCUCUGGCCACCUUGCUUCUUGCCUCCAUCACCUACCCGCCUGGUGUGGGCCACUUCCUAGCUUCUCGGCUGUCCAUGAAGCAGCAUCUGGACUCGCUGUUCGACAACCACUCCUGGGCGCUGAUGACCCAGAACUCCAGCCCACCCUGGCCCGAGGAGCUCGACCCCCAGCACCUGUGGUGGGAAUGGUACCACCCGCGGUUCACCAUCUUUGGGACCCUUGCCUUCUUCCUGGUUAUGAAGUUCUGGAUGCUGAUUCUGGCCACCACCAUCCCCAUGCCUGCCGGCUACUUCAUGCCCAUCUUCAUCCUUGGAGCUGCCAUCGGGCGCCUCUUGGGAGAGGCUCUUGCUGUCGCCUUCCCUGAGGGCAUCGUGGCUGGAGGGGUUACCAAUCCCAUCAUGCCCGGGGGGUAUGCUCUGGCAG
This 824-nucleotide small RNA is filed under the name Pongo abelii (Sumatran orangutan). Its description in RNAcentral is "processed transcript". The record is from RNAcentral. Lineage: Eukaryota; Metazoa; Chordata; Mammalia; Primates; Hominidae.